GGAUGUGAGGGCGAUCUGGCUGCGACAUCUGUCACCCCAUUGAUCGCCAGGGUUGAUUCGGCUGAUCUGGCUGGCUAGGCGGGUGUCCCCUUCCUCCCUCACUGCUCCAUGUGUGUCCCUCCCGAAGCUGCGCGCUCAGUCGAAGAGGACGACCAUCCCCGAUAGAGGAGGACCGGUCUUCGGUCAAGGGUAUACGAGUAGCUGCGCUCCCCUGCUAGAACCUCCAAACAAACUCUCAAGGUCCAUUAUUGAACUUACUGUUAGUUUGAGGUUUUUAUACUGGUA
Dipodomys ordii (Ord's kangaroo rat) is the source of this 285-nucleotide unclassified non-coding RNA. Its record names the gene 7SK. It matches the Rfam family "7SK RNA". From Rfam's summary of the family: 7SK was discovered as an abundant small nuclear RNA in the mid-70s but a possible function has only recently been suggested. Two independent studies have found that 7SK RNA binds the CDK9/cyclin T complex (known as elongation factor P-TEFb). P-TEFb activates transcription by phosphorylating the C-terminal domain of RNA polymerase II. NCBI's taxonomy places the organism in Eukaryota, Metazoa, Chordata, Mammalia, Rodentia, Heteromyidae. The record is from Ensembl.